UACGUAGGUGGCAAGCGUUGUCCGGAUUUAUUGGGUUUAAAGGGUGCGUAGGCGGUCUUCUAAGUCAGUUGUGAAAUACUUCAGCUUAACUGGAGGGGUGCAAUUGAUACUGGAAGACUUGAGUACUGAUGAGGUUGGCGGAAUGGACGGUGUAGCGGUGAAAUGCUUAGAUAUCGUCCAGAACACCGAUAGCGAAGGCAGCUUACUAAGGAGUAACUGACGCUGAGGCACGAAAGUGUGGGGAUCAAACAGG
This 253-nucleotide ribosomal RNA is filed under the name uncultured bacterium. Its description in RNAcentral is "partial 16S ribosomal RNA". It matches the Rfam family "Bacterial small subunit ribosomal RNA", at positions 524 to 776 of the family's 1533-position model. The record is from RNAcentral.